Molecule: long non-coding RNA, 479 nt
Filed under: Trifolium pratense (red clover)
Lineage: Eukaryota; Viridiplantae; Streptophyta; Magnoliopsida; Fabales; Fabaceae
Description: long non-coding RNA (TPRA_LNC002436)
Source: RNAcentral
UACGUUGAUUUUCAUGGAAUUAUGAAUACUGAUUUGAUCAAGAAUUUAACUAUUACAGUAUUCUUAGAAAAACCAAUUUAACAAUUAUAACAUAAAAAUAAACUUUAAGCACAACAAUUAUUAUUACUAUGCAAUGUCAUUAUAUUAUGAUACAGUCAACUAUUGUUAAUAUUGUUGUUUAAGCUUAAAAUUUAUAAGUCCUUACAAGUCCCACAUCGGAAGCUUUUGAGAAACUAAAGAAGAAACUAAAUACAAUGUGUGAUAAGAAUAGGGUCACUUGGCAUUGAGGAUACAACAAUAAAGUUAAAGUUUAAAUUGCAGUGUCCUCAUCCAUUAUUUGUGGUAGAAUUUAAUGUUGGUAUGCUGGUUUUUGUGUUUUUCAAGCAAAUUAACAUGCAGAAUUAUUUACGGUAGAAUUUAAUGUCGGUAUACUGGUUAAGUAUUUAAAAAUAUAAAUUCUGUAUCGAAAUGUGUGCAUU